GUGGGGAAUCUUAGACAAUGGGGGAAACCCUGAUCUAGCCAUGCCGCGUGAGCGAUGAAGGCCUUAGGGUUGUAAAGCUCUUUCAGCUGGGAAGAUAAUGACGGUACCAGCAGAAGAAGCCCCGGCUAACUCCGUGCCAGCAGCCGCGGUAAUACGGAGGGGGCUAGCGUUGUUCGGAAUUACUGGGCGUAAAGCGCGCGUAGGCGGACCAGAAAGUUGGAGGUGAAAUCCCAGGGCUCAACCUUGGAACUGCCUUCAAAACUCCUGGUCUGGAGUUCGAGAGAGGUGAGUGGAAUUCCGAGUGUAGAGGUGAAAUUCGUAGAUAUUCGGAGGAACACCAGUGGCGAAGGCGACUCACUGGCUCGAUACUGACGCUGAGGUGCGAAAGCGUGGGGAGCAAACAGGAUUAGAUACCCGAGUAGUCC
RNAcentral lists this ribosomal RNA (425 nucleotides) under uncultured bacterium. Its description in RNAcentral is "partial 16S ribosomal RNA". It matches the Rfam family "Bacterial small subunit ribosomal RNA", at positions 354 to 796 of the family's 1533-position model. The record is from RNAcentral.